AAUUGUGUUUGUUAGUGCACAGACAGUGCAGACACGCAAAAAUAUGCUCUCGUGGUACGGACACCAUGGUGCCCUAGUGGCUGUGACACAGGGAUGAAUAUUAGCUGCUAAGCCACAUUCCAUUGGAGGCAGAAUACAACAAAAGUCAUCAUGAAAAAAUAAACGCACAUAUAAUACAGUACAAAGAAGUGCUGGUUUAGCCAUUAAAGGGACACUAAAGGUUAAUAUUAACACAACAUGUACUGUUGAAAUACCAUCCCAGAAACCUCGAAACGCUUCGUUUCAUGCGAAGAAAAGACUUAUUUUAAGAGAAAAUGCGUUCUGAAGAGUCCGCGUACCUCUAGUGCAGUUCAAAUCGCCCGCCCUCUGAUUGAGGAGUGGUGACGUCAUGGUCUCAUAGUGACGUUGCGCCGUCGGUGAGUAAAACAGCGCCCUCAGAUGGGGCUACGGCUUUUCUGCGCAAAACGCAAAUGCGUGACCAGAAACAGAGGCAAGACAGAGCCGAUAGCAGCGCGAAAGUGGAACUAUGGUGACUAGCGGAAGGAAAAGCGCGCGACGAUAAGCUAGUUCUUUUUUUUAUGACGCCAACUUCGAUGCUCAUUGCAAUAGGGGACUCUGACAACGACACAUUGGCUCGCGAUGCUGGGCUUGACUUCAGCAAUUUAAGCACUGAUGAACGUGACCUGCUGCUGAGGGCUUGCGCUGCCGACGUCGUUGCGUACUACUACGACGGCAACUUUGUUCUUGCGCCUUCAGGGAGAAUGCAGGCAAGACCGACGGAACAGCGCUACAGGAAAGCAUUGCUUUGAAAGGCACUCCACAAGACUUCUGACUCGACGACGACGAGAUCAUUCAUGAGGUUUCCGCUACAUCGCCGGAUGACGACUCCGAGUCGGCUCCAAUGACUCCGAGUACAAGCAGUGACUGUGCUUUCAGCCACCUAUAGUGACCAUACAACCCUCUCCGAGAUUCAGGCUUAUCUGAUUGCGUGUAAAUGGAACAGUAUGCAAUGGCGCAUUCAUGAUUUCUUCAAGCCUACUGCCGAGCCCGAAUA
Dermacentor albipictus is the source of this 1054-nucleotide long non-coding RNA. RefSeq lists it as uncharacterized. NCBI's taxonomy places the organism in Eukaryota, Metazoa, Arthropoda, Arachnida, Ixodida, Ixodidae. The record is from RefSeq and is a predicted model, not a curated record.